GACGAACGCUGGCGGCGUGCUUAACACAUGCAAGUCGAACGGAAAGGCCCUGCUUUUGUGGGGUGCUCGAGUGGCGAACGGGUGAGUAACACGUGAGUAACCUGCCCUUGACUUUGGGAUAACUUCAGGAAACUGGGGCUAAUACAGGAUAGGAGCUCCUGCUGCAUGGUGGGGGUUGGAAAGUUUCGGCGGUUGGGGAUGGACUGGCGGCUUAUCAGCUUGUUGGUGGGGUAGUGGCUUACCAAGGCUUUGACGGGUAGCCGGCCUGAGAGGUUGAACGGCCACAUGGGGACUGAGAUACGGCCCAGACUCCUACGGGAGGCAGCAGUGGGGAAUAUGGCACAAUGGGCGGAAGCCUGAUGCAGCAACGCCGCGUUCGUGAUGACGGCCUUCGGGUUGUAAACCGCUGUCGCCUGUGACGAAGCGUGAGUGACGGUAAUGGGUAAAGAAGCACCGGCUAACUACGUG
RNAcentral lists this ribosomal RNA (468 nucleotides) under uncultured bacterium. RNAcentral describes it as "partial 16S ribosomal RNA". It matches the Rfam family "Bacterial small subunit ribosomal RNA", at positions 28 to 507 of the family's 1533-position model. The record is from RNAcentral.